RNAcentral lists this ribosomal RNA (775 nucleotides) under uncultured Neocallimastigales. RNAcentral describes it as "partial large subunit ribosomal RNA". It matches the Rfam family "Eukaryotic large subunit ribosomal RNA", at positions 23 to 626 of the family's 3401-position model. Lineage: Eukaryota; Fungi; Neocallimastigomycota; Neocallimastigomycetes; Neocallimastigales. The record is from RNAcentral.
AGAGAGAGACAUGCGCGCAUAUCAAUAAGCGGAGGAAAAGAAACUAACAAGGAUUCCCUUAGUAACGGCGAGUGAAGCGGGAAGAGCUCAAAUUUGAAAUCUUCAAGGUUUUACCUUGACGAAUUGUAGUUUAAAGAAGUGUUUUCUGCUGAAGUUUUGGUAAAAGUUCUUUGGAAUAGGACAUCAUAGAGGGUGAGAAUCCCGUAUUUGACCAUUAUUUUCAGCUUUGUGAUACACUUUCAAAGAGUCGGAUUGUUUGGGAAUGCAGUCCAAAAUGGGUGGUAAAUUUCAUCUAAAGCUAAAUAUUGGCGAGAGACCGAUAGCGAACAAGUACCGUGAGGGAAAGAUGAAAAGAACUUUGAAAAGAGAGUUAAACAGUACGUGAAAUUGUCAAAAGGGAAGCGUUUGACACCAGUGUUGUUUUCUCGAAAAUCAAUUAGAAAUGGCUCGAUUUUGUAUUGCUUGAGACCUUAAAAGCUCACUGUACAUUUUUCGUGUCCUUUUUAAUGCACUUUUCGUUUAACAAGUCAACAUCAGUUUCUUUUGUUGUAAAAGGGUCAUUGGAAGGUGGCUUUCUUUUCGGAGAAAGUGUUUAUAGCCUUUGGCCUCUACAAUCGGAGAGACUGAGGUCUGCAGCGUAGACUCUUCGGGGUUAGAUACAUUUGUGCUAAGUUAUAGCUUUUUAUAGACAACUUGUUGACUAUAAUUAGUCUUGUAGCUUACUCGCUUAUGCUAUUUUACCUACGCUUAGGAUGUUGAGUCGUAGAGCACGCAG